This 235-nucleotide ribosomal RNA is filed under the name Candidatus Scalindua marina (nom. nud.). RNAcentral describes it as "Candidatus Scalindua marina partial 16S ribosomal RNA". It matches the Rfam family "Bacterial small subunit ribosomal RNA", at positions 565 to 802 of the family's 1533-position model. The record is from RNAcentral. Lineage: Bacteria; Pseudomonadati; Planctomycetota; Candidatus Brocadiia; Candidatus Brocadiales; Candidatus Scalinduaceae.
GAGCACGUAGGGGGGUUUGUAAGUCAGAUGUGAAAGCCUUCUGUUCAACGGGAGAAUUGCAUCUGAAACUGCUAAUCUUGAGUAUAGGAUGGGAGAAUGGAACUUCUGGUGGAGCGGUGAAAUGCGUAGAUAUCAGAAGGAACGCCGGCGGCGAAAGCGAUUCUCUGGCCUAUUACUGACACUCAGUGUGCGAAAGCUAGGGGAGCAAACGGGAUUAGAUACCCCGUAGCAGCAU